Myotis myotis is the source of this 350-nucleotide long non-coding RNA. RefSeq lists it as uncharacterized. The transcript has 3 exons. The record is from RefSeq and is a predicted model, not a curated record. Lineage: Eukaryota; Metazoa; Chordata; Mammalia; Chiroptera; Vespertilionidae.
UCAGGAACCCGCCCAGUAAAGCAGCAGACCUGUGCCAGCUGGGAGGCUUGGUGAAUGGCCGGGUCUGAGCAACGGAAGGUGACAGAAAACAGCAGCAGCUGCUACAGCACCAGCCUCGAGCCAGGCAGACAUCAUUGUCCUGGACCCUGGGCAGGCACAGCUUUGGCAUGAACAGUGCCAAAGGCAAUGCCUCAAAAGGCCACUUUGGGGUCAGCAGCAAUGGAGACCUCAGCCCGAGCGUGGAUGUGAAACCUAGACUCCUGACGCCAUUUUGCACCAUGAAAAUGAAGCCUGCCGCCUAGAGAUGUAUGGAAUCAAAGGUCUCUAGAAGUCCAAGAGCAGAGCCCCUA